GUGCUCACUUCAGCAGCACAUAAACUACAACUGGAACAAAACAGAGAUUAGCAUGGCCCCUGAAAAAGGAUGACACACAAAUUCUUGAAGCAUUCCUUAUUUUU
Molecule: small nuclear RNA, 104 nt
Organism: Fukomys damarensis (Damara mole-rat)
Lineage: Eukaryota; Metazoa; Chordata; Mammalia; Rodentia; Bathyergidae
Source: Ensembl